Molecule: long non-coding RNA, 1582 nt
Organism: Gallus gallus (chicken)
Lineage: Eukaryota; Metazoa; Chordata; Aves; Galliformes; Phasianidae
Exons: 3
Source: RefSeq, a predicted model, not a curated record
GCUUUGCUGUGAGCUGGGUGCAGAUGGUCACAGGCUUGUGUUGUGAGCCUAGGACACGUGCUGUGUGUUUCUGCAGCUGACAGAGAGUUACUCACAGCGAGAGGCUGUGAUGCAGCCCAUGAUGCAUUUCUCGCAUCUGCAGAGCCCCUGCUUUUAUUUCAGGACACAUAGAGACCUUAGCAGGGGCCGUGCUCUCUGUCUCUUGGGGGGAGGAAACUUCUCCCUGUUCCCUCUUUUCCCCACCUCUUCUUACUGAGUGUGACCUCAUUCUGUAUGCAGCGUCCGUUUUAUCUCUUUUUGUCAGCUAUCUUGUCUCUGUCCCCUCCCAAGCUCCUGUUCAUCUCCAGCCUGCCAAAGAGCCAUAAAAUAGAGGUGCUUGGGUUGGAAGGGACAUUAAAGAGCAAGGAGUCACUUAUAGAAUUGUAAAAACCAGCAAAACAAACAAACAAACAAACAAACAGUAUAAGCACAGAAUUAAAGAAGCCGACACCAUACUGCCAUUAGUUAGGAGCUCAUUGCUUGUGUUCCAGUUGAGAAGGGCCACAGAUCAUUUUGUCCAGCCGCGAAUGAGUGACGGUCACGUUCUCUCCAUCCCCAUUCAAGUGGGAUUUUUCAUCAUGAGUCAUGGGUUGCAAGCACUGUGGAGAAAUUUUCCCUUGAUGAAUGGAUUCAGCAUGUACGAAGGAAUGAGCAGGGUUGCUACCAGGAGCUCAUGGCGAGAAGAUCCCUGUGGAUAUGGGUUGCCCAGCACUCACACUGGAUUCUUCCACAGCCGGUGCCUUCCAAAUGCAGCCUGGAUUGGGAUCUGGGGAAAAAGAGAAAGCAAAGAUCCGGUAAAGCCCCUUCACUACUCAUGAAAACCAGUCUUAGUUGAUCUGCCACCAACACGACAUGUACUUCCCAUUCUCAAAGCACCAUUGAAUUUUUGUACGUGGGAAGGUUCCAACGCCCACAGAUUAGCCAUGGGCAUGGUGUUACUGAAACAAGCAGGACUGUGCGGUGAAGUAUCGAAGAGGGAGAGACUGCUGCGUAAGCAUCCACAAUGCCAUCAUCUAAUCUGAAGAAGCUCAAAAGAAGAUGGAGGAGGUCAGCGAACGGACUGCUGAACUGUUUCAUGUUCUGCUGCCAAAGGACUGUUCGGAGGCAUGGAAUCCAAAUUCCUGGUUGGUAUCCAUGCUGAGAUUGUGGAGACUCAUGGGAUGGGAGAAAUGGUUGGCACAGAAGGCAAUAGCAGUGUUGGUUGGGUUUACGGUUUUUAUGAAAAGCAUUUUCAUAGUCCUGUGUGUGAUUGAUUACAUGCUCGCUCUCUUCACUUCCUUUCUUUCCUCUUCCUCUGUUCAUUAAGUAUAGAUCACCACACUAGAAGAAGGCGAACUGUACAGGAACGAGAUUCAAUUGAUUGUUUGAGCCAUGGGUAGUGUAAGAGACUGAGAAGCAAGAGGGUUAAUGUCCCACAUGCUUCCUAGAAGAGUGAAAUGAGGUCACCACAGUAAGGAGAUAAGGAGUAGAUCGAGGAGGCGCCUACUGAAAUGAGGUAGCAUCACUGCAGAGGAUAUCAUCUUGCGAGACUAUGAAGACCUGU